RNAcentral lists this ribosomal RNA (254 nucleotides) under uncultured bacterium. RNAcentral's name for it is "partial 16S ribosomal RNA". It matches the Rfam family "Bacterial small subunit ribosomal RNA", at positions 524 to 776 of the family's 1533-position model. The record is from RNAcentral.
UACGGGGGGAGCAAGCGUUGUUCGGAUUUACUGGGCGUAAAGGGCGCGUAGGCGGCCACCGCAAGUCGACUGUGAAAUCUCCGGGCUUAACCCGGAAAGGUCAGCCGAUACUGCGGGGCUAGAGUGCAGAAGGGGCAACUGGAAUUCUCGGUGUAGCGGUGAAAUGCGUAGAUAUCGAGAGGAACACCUGCGGCGAAGCGGGUUGCUGGGCUGACACUGACGCUGAGGCGCGAAAGCUAGGGGGAGCGAACGGG